This 1204-nucleotide long non-coding RNA is filed under the name Vigna radiata. RNAcentral describes it as "long non-coding RNA (VRAD_LNC006444)". Lineage: Eukaryota; Viridiplantae; Streptophyta; Magnoliopsida; Fabales; Fabaceae. The record is from RNAcentral.
GGUGGCUCGCUGGACUUGGGCCCAUUUUCUGAUGCGCUCCUCACCUAUAUAUACCCCUAUUGCGAGUUCAGAAUCAUUCUUUUGACAGGGGAGAACGGCCAGACCUAAUUUUGCUCUCUGGAGAGGAUCUCUUGGAUGCUUAGGCUCCUUUCCAUCUUUUCUAGGGUUUGCUUUUCCAUUCUUCUUCCAUUUUUCAUCUAAUUUCACCAUGUCUAUGGUGAACUAAACCCUAUUGUUGUUGGGGGAAACAAUGUAAUCUUUUGAUACUCUCUCUUAUUGAAUCUCUUGAUUAUGUAUAUUGUCUCCAUAUGUUUUGAUUGAUUAUUGUUGGGUUAUCAUCUGUGCUUAAGGCCUUUAUCGUUUAACUCAUUCGGUAUAUUGAUGUUUGUCUUUAUUGAUAUGGGGACGUACAGUAAUGACAUGAACUGUUGAGUAAUCUCUUGAUUUUGCAAUACCACCUAGGGAUAGGGGUAGGACGAUCAAUUGCGCUAACUUCUGUUUAUAAUGCGGUAUUAAUUACUAGGGGAGGCUAGGGAUAGCAAGCCAGUAGUUAAUAUUAGGCCCUUUUCGCCGAGGGAUCGGGUUAAGGGGAGGCUAAGAAAGUCACAUAACAAUUAAUCAAACUAAUAUUCAAGGGUAGUAUGUAAGANNNNNNGGAAUAGAUGAAAUUGUAAAACCCCAACAACAUCCAUUCAUCCAUUGUUUUCGUUUGUCAAUUGAAUCAACUUUAUUUUUGCAUGUUAAUAAUUUUGUUCUCAAAUCCAAUUUAUUAAUUUUUAUUUUUCAAGUCUUAUUAUUUUAAUUCACGCGAACGAGAAAGCCACACGAGUCUCUUGGGAAAACGAUACUUGGUCUUACCAUUUAUAUUACUUUUACGAUUUGGUACACUUGCCAAUUUGUCAACAAUCCACACCCAAUCACCAGGAGAGAAAGUGACCUUUUUCCUAGACUUAUUGACACUAGAUGCAUGCUUUUGAUUGGUGUGUUCAAUGCGCGCGCGUCUUAACUCUACUAUGUAAAUCUUUGUACAAAGCUAUAAUACAGUCGACUCCAUUAUUAAUAGAUUCGACAAUGCUAAAAUAUUUGUAUAGAUUUUGGGAAUUAGUGCUUUGUGAGAUUUUGAGAAGGAAAGAAUUUCAAAAUGUUUUUACAUGUUGAAGUCGACUAUGUGCGCCACAUAAUCGAUUGUAUUAGUUAUCUGUUU